UCAGCUUUGUUCAGUGAAUGAACAACGUUGUUGUUGCUGGGAGUGUUGAUGCUCUGGGUGUUGUUCUUGUGUUCAUCUUCACCAUCAGAGCAUCUCUGAGGUGGUUUGCUGCUGCCAUUUCUGCACUGAACCUGUUGGGCUUCGAUGGGCGUUUUCUUGGAUUUCCUAGAAAAAGCCCAUCUAUAAAGCCUCCCUCUCUUCUUUUCUACUCUCUCAGGGACAGGCGUUGGUGACAUACAAGCAGAAGGAUCUUGGACUGCAAUGCAGCUGUGAGAUGUGCACUGCCCCAUUGCGUCAGAUCACUCGCUGAUGUUCUGUCACAAACUUUUAUCGCAAAUCGACUGAACUUUUAUAGCACACAGAUCAGUGAAAAACUACAAAUCAAGUGAUAUAACACACAGACAGAGUGAUAUAACACAAUUUGAGCGACUUUUCACCACAGAUGUACUACAAUACUAGUCAGAUCGAUUGAUACAGCAGGAAACAAAUGAACUAAAAUUCAGCGCUCGCGGAGUUCCAUAUGUAGGCUUGGGCAGUGACGUCACAAGUGCUGACGCGUCGGCCGGUUGCCAAGGGAUUUUUUCGAAUGUUUUGGUCACGAGAAUAUACAGAUACAAACGAUAACUGCUAUUGUUUACACAUAAAAUAAAUAUAUUUAUCAACUUUAUCUUAAAACAUUUCUUCUUUCAAAAGCUUCAUGUCACGAUUACUACAACUUCUGAUGUCAAACACGGAGCUCGACGAUCAUAAUCGACUCGAGGUUAAAAGCGUACUGUCAUUCAUAAACAUUUCUGUUUCAAUGAUAAUGAUUCAAAAGAAAUAAAAUGAUUUAAAAGAAAUAAAGUGUCAGUAGUGAUUGAUACUUGACCAAAAUUAUAAAGAAUGAUGGAAAACUUCGAUAUUAUGAUGUUCUCAUGAAGCUUGAAACUUCUUGCCUGAAUUCAGCGACAGUUUUCAUGGCCAAACUUGCAUGGCGUAACGUUAAUUAAUCUAAUUUCAACAUAUUUGUUGAAUGGUUAUUCUGAUAUUUAUCGAAACCUUGACAUUUCAUCUGAUCAUUUGUGAGAUUUAUUUUAUUUGUAUAUAUAAACAUGUCUGUAUUAAAGUAAAAAUGACUUUCGAAACACGUCUUUCGAAUGGAGAUAAAUAAGUACUUUUUGGUGUCUUGUUCAUCGUAUUCAUUUUCAUAUAAAAGCAACAGAACUUAAAUUACAUCCAGUUUAUCAGAAACACAAUUAUUAAUCCAGUAAUUGGUCAAUUAUUUUGACAAUUGAGUAAUCUUUUUUUUUUUUUUUUCUGUGGCAAUAAAAAUAGACCUAAGUGAAUAAUACCUUUUAAAAUGACUUAAAAUACAUACAUAAUAACAACAACGAGGCAAUAAUAAUUGGUUUACAUAAAGUAUCAAAAGCAAGUAAUGUUAUGGUUUUAUUGAACAACACUGUUAAAAUACAUAAUAUAAUAUAUAUAUAUAAUAAUCAACAUUAUGUAUAAUAACAAAUGCCUGCAGAGGGUGCCAACGGCCUGGUCGUUGUUGUUGUUACACUGGCCAAACAACAUGUAGCUAAUUCAAGUGUCCACUUAAUCUUUAAUAUUUGGCAACUUCUUUACGAUAGAAAUAUAGUUCUUUAACAAGAACAUGUGGAUAUCAAAACAUGCAAACAAGGGAGCAAGGGUUUAUACAUUUAACAGCUUUUCACCUCAACAAAAACAUAUAGUCACGUUUUAAUAUUUCGUCACAUCCCUAAUGUUCAUAUUAGAGGAGAACCAUAUCAUUUACACAAAAAAACGGCUUAAAGCUUCAUCUUGUUAUUACCGAAUCACCAGUUAAUCAUGAAUUAUGUCAAGCACAUAACUGGUUGAUAACAAGUAUCAUUGUGCAUCCCAUUCACAGGUCUGACACCAACGCCUGACCCUAAUCCUGUCCCAGGCCCAUCAGGGAUCGAGACCUUGCCUCAGUCAGGUUCAAGCAGAAUCGGCCCAUCGCCUGGCGAUGUUCCAUGUUUAAAAAAAUGUUUUGAUUGACAGUUAGAUUCAUUUACCUGCCUGAGCCAUAUGUGCAGAGUACAUAAAGUGCAAAGUAAUGUGGAUUCUGAUUUCAGAUUACUUCAUCUUAUAGUAGCUGAUCUGAAUUGAAAAGACCCAUCCACAUUCUUUUUAUUCUGUCUGCUCAGGCACAACAAGAAUCAUACUUACAUUAACAUGCUGUCAUUUAUCUUUCAGUACAUUCAAAAUAUGAUGUGCUUGGUGAGCUGGGACGGGGAUCCUUCGGCUGUGUCAAAAUGGGAAUUCAGAAGUCUGAUCACAGAAAGGUCGCCAUCAAAUUCAGAAAUAAAACUGGAUAUGAAGAAGAUGAGUUCUUCCUGGCUAUCCCUACCAAAUCAUUUUAGAAGUGGUUCUGAUGCAGCUGAUGAAGGAACCUCCCAGCCCCCACGUUAUACAAAUACUUGAGUGGUUUGAAGACUCAGAACAGACAAUUCUGUUUAUGGAGUAUCCUGAGCCUUGUGAACGCUGAACUCUUUCCUUAGUCGUUACGGUGGACGCCUAGGAGAGGGUGUUGUGCGGAUGCUAAUGGCUCAGAUAGUUCAAUCCGCAAAUGAGUGUAUCGACCAUGAAGUUUACUGAUUGUUUUCUUAGCGUUUUUGUACAUUUUAUUGACAGACUCACAAGUAGAAAAAGACUGGAAAUUAAGGGCAGAGAGAGAGGAAGUAGCAAACCUCUAGUAGCCUCUAAACAUAUGUAAUUUAUGCUUUCUCCACUGAAUGUGAUUCACUGCUGUACUGUUGGCUUCACACUAAACAUGUCUUGUUUACAGAACCAGAAGGACACCCGAGGCCUGACACCCGGAUACCAUUAAGCUUGGCCCUUAAACAGACUCGCUCGUCUCUGGGUUGUAUUCUGAGCCAGGUGGCACAUUUAGCCCUCACCAGUGUGCCCACAGAGCCCACCUUGAACUUCCUGUACGGACUGAAAUGUCGCACCUCUGCGACCACAUACUGCUGGAAGAAAGGGUGGUUUAAGGCAUCUGUGGCAGUGUAACGUGUCUCGGGAUUCACCACCAACAACCUGGAGAUCUGAAAGUUUAAACAGCCACAGGUCUGCACCAGACGCACCAGGUCUUUGACAGUGUCUGAACGGUCGUCCCACUCCGGAGAGGUGAACUCGUAACUUCCUGCUAGGAUCAUGCGCAGCAUUAGCAUCUGCUUCCUGUGCCAGAAGGGAGGGGAACCUGCAAGAAGGGUGUACAUGAUCACCCCUGCACUCCAGCUGAAAAAGACAAGAAACG
This is a long non-coding RNA of Ctenopharyngodon idella (grass carp), 3283 nucleotides long. RefSeq lists it as uncharacterized. Lineage: Eukaryota; Metazoa; Chordata; Actinopteri; Cypriniformes; Xenocyprididae. The transcript has 5 exons. The record is from RefSeq and is a predicted model, not a curated record.